Molecule: ribosomal RNA, 253 nt
Filed under: uncultured bacterium
Lineage: Bacteria
Description: partial 16S ribosomal RNA
Rfam family: Bacterial small subunit ribosomal RNA
Source: RNAcentral
GACAGAGGUGGCAAGCGUUGUUCGGAAUUACUGGGCGUAAAGGGCGCGUAGGCGGCUCUUUAAGUCAGACGUGAAAUCCCCCGGCUUAACCUGGGAACUGCGUCUGAUACUGGGAAGCUUGAGUUCGGGAGAGGGAUGUAGAAUUCCAGGUGUAGCGGUGAAAUGCGUAGAUAUCUGGAGGAAUACCGGUGGCGAAGGCGGCUUCCUGGACCGAAACUGACGCUGAGGCGCGAAAGCUAGGGGAGCAAACGGG